UACGAAGGGGGCUAGCGUUGCUCGGAAUGACUGGGCGUAAAGGGCGCGUAGGCGGUUCGUACAGUCAGACGUGAAAUUCCCGGGCUCAACCUGGGGACUGCGUUUGAUACGUGCGGGCUUGAGUUCGGAAGAGGGUCGUGGAAUUCCCAGUGUAGAGGUGAAAUUCGUAGAUAUUGGGAAGAACACCGGUGGCGAAGGCGGCGACCUGGUCCGAUACUGACGCUGAGGCGCGAAAGCCAGGGGAGCAAACGGG
Molecule: ribosomal RNA, 253 nt
Filed under: uncultured bacterium
Lineage: Bacteria
Description: partial 16S ribosomal RNA
Rfam family: Bacterial small subunit ribosomal RNA
Source: RNAcentral